RNAcentral lists this ribosomal RNA (201 nucleotides) under Triticum aestivum (bread wheat). RNAcentral's name for it is "partial small subunit ribosomal RNA". The record is from RNAcentral. Lineage: Eukaryota; Viridiplantae; Streptophyta; Magnoliopsida; Poales; Poaceae.
AUGCUGAUCUGGUCCAUGAGGGACCGCCGGAUGUGGCCCGGCGGCGUCUCGGUGAUGCCCGCCAGGUACACGUCGGAGGAGAGGUCGAACUUGAGGGUGGCCAUGGGCGUGUUGGGCUUCUUCACCAGGUCGUCCUCCAGCAUGAUCUCCGCCACCCGGGACAGGAUGCUGAACGCCACCCCUACAAGAACCCUCGAGUAG